GGCAUGUACGGAAGUUGCCAGAGAUGGCUUCGUGCUCAAAAGAGAGCCGUAACACAGGUGCUGCAUGGUUGUCGUCAGCUCGUGUCGUGAGAUGUUGGGUUAAGUCCCGCAACGAGCGCAACCCUUGUCAUUAGUUGCUACGAAAGGGCACUCUAAUGAGACUGCCGGUGACAAACCGGAGGAAGGUGGGGAUGACGUCAAGUCCUCAUGGCCCUUAUAGGUGGGGCUACACACGUCAUACAAUGGCUGGUACAAAGGGUUGCCAACCCGCGAGGGGGAGCUAAUCCCAUAAAGCCAGUCGUAGUCCGGAUCGCAGUCUGCAACUCGACUGCGUGAAGUCGGAAUCGCUAGUAAUCGUGGAUCAGCAUGUCACGGUGAAUACGUUC
RNAcentral lists this ribosomal RNA (386 nucleotides) under uncultured bacterium. RNAcentral's name for it is "bacterial SSU rRNA". It matches the Rfam family "Bacterial small subunit ribosomal RNA", at positions 983 to 1373 of the family's 1533-position model. The record is from RNAcentral.